AAAAAUUUUCAAAAAACAACUCGUAUAAUUUCGGAAAUAUGGUCCGAAAGUUUCUACCAAACGACCGUAAAUCGUUUGACUACGGGGGAUCGCUCCUCGUAU
Non-coding RNA from Anoxybacillus flavithermus WK1, 102 nucleotides. NCBI's taxonomy places the organism in Bacteria, Bacillati, Bacillota, Bacilli, Caryophanales, Anoxybacillaceae. The record is from Rfam.